UACGUAGGGGGCAAGCGUUUGUCCGGAUUUAUUGGGCGUAAAGAGCGUGUAGGCGGUUUGGUAGGUCCGCUGUGAAAACUCGAGCUCAACCUCGAGACGCCGGUGGAAACCAUCAGACUAGAGUCCGGAAGAGGAGAGUGGAAUUCCUGGUGUAGCGGUGAAAUGCGCAGAUAUCAGGAAGAACACCCGUGGCUAAGGCGGCUCUCUAGUACGGUACUGACGCUGAGACGCGAAAGCGUGGGGAGCGAACAGG
Molecule: ribosomal RNA, 253 nt
Filed under: uncultured bacterium
Lineage: Bacteria
Description: partial 16S ribosomal RNA
Rfam family: Bacterial small subunit ribosomal RNA
Source: RNAcentral